Molecule: long non-coding RNA, 360 nt
Organism: Zingiber officinale
Lineage: Eukaryota; Viridiplantae; Streptophyta; Magnoliopsida; Zingiberales; Zingiberaceae
Exons: 3
Source: RefSeq, a predicted model, not a curated record
GAUGGGGCGCCUGAAGAGUUUGAUCAAACUCUUUUUUCUGUUAGAAGUGACCGUUCCAUUGGACCUGUGGAGAACUUUGCACUUAAUCUGGUUAAAGAUGCCCAAAAACCUCUUCAAUAGACCUCUUUCUUCCCACGAGGUUCAGAUUGCCGCAGGUCCUUGGGAGUGUUUGGCGAGCUAACUUACAGUCACUGCAUGAAGGAGUGCUGCAACGAUGAGAGAUGAUGAUCCAAAGAAAAGCAAGCUGUCUUGGUCCAAGGCCUUUGUUAAAAAAUGGUUCAACAUCAAGAGCAAAGGUCAGGAUAACCAUGUCGAUGAGAUUGCUAGCAAAGGUGUGCCUGAUCUCUUCUUCUUAUUCAA